GACACGCUGUGACUAGCAUAUCAAUAAGCGGAGGAAAAGAAACUAACAAGGAUUCCCCUAGUAACGGCGAGUGAAGCGGGAAGAGCUCAAAUUUGAAAUCUUAAAGGGUUUCCCUUUACGAAUUGUAGUUUAAAGAAGUGUUUUCUGUUGAGGUUUUGGUAAAAGUUCUUUGGAAUAGGACAUCAUAGAGGGUGAGAAUCCCGUAUUUGACCUUUACUUUCAACUCUGUGAUACACUUUCAAAGAGUCGGAUUGUUUGGGAAUGCAGUCCAAAAUGGGUGGUAAAUUUCAUCUAAAGCUAAAUAUUGGCGAGAGACCGAUAGCGAACAAGUACCGUGAGGGAAAGAUGAAAAGAACUUUGAAAAGAGAGUUAAACAGUACGUGAAAUUGUCAAAAGGGAAGCGUUUGACACCAGUGUUGUUUUUCUGAAAAUCAAUUAAAGAACUGUUUAUGCUAAGUUGUUUAGACUUUAUCAGCUAACUGUUUAGUUUUGAGCUUUUCUUUAAUGCACUUUUCAGUUAACAAGUCAACAUCAAUUUCUUUUGCUGUAAAAAAGCUUGAGGAAGGUGGCUUGAGAUUCGUCUUAAGUGUUUAUAGCCUCUUGCCUAUGCAGUCGGAGAGAUUGAGGUCUGCAGCGUAGAUCCUUCGGGGCUAAAUGCAUUUGUGCUAAGUUAUAGCAUUUUAUAGACAACUUGUUGACUAUGAUUUGUCUUGUAGCUUACUCGCUUAUGUUAUUUUACCUACGCUUAGGAUGUUGACAGCAGUAUAGACUGU
Molecule: ribosomal RNA, 773 nt
Filed under: uncultured Neocallimastigales
Lineage: Eukaryota; Fungi; Neocallimastigomycota; Neocallimastigomycetes; Neocallimastigales
Description: partial large subunit ribosomal RNA
Rfam family: Eukaryotic large subunit ribosomal RNA
Source: RNAcentral